Molecule: long non-coding RNA, 361 nt
Organism: Zalophus californianus (California sea lion)
Lineage: Eukaryota; Metazoa; Chordata; Mammalia; Carnivora; Otariidae
Exons: 3
Source: RefSeq, a predicted model, not a curated record
GGGGUUCCCAACCAGGAACAGUUAAUUCUGUCACAUAUCCUUUUGAAGAAGAACUGAACACCAAGCAGCUUAUGGUGACUCAGACGGACAAUCUGUGGCACAGUACAGGUCCAGAAGAGGAAUCCAGUGCUCUCUGACUAUGCUGAAUCUCAAUAUCAAGAUGAACUUUCAUCACUACAGAGUUUACCAUUGUUGUGUACUCUGAGUGGAUGUGGAGCAAGCAAUCAGAAUGAGCUACCAUAUAUCAGUUACAAAAAUCGCUCUGAAAGAGACCUGAUGACAGUGGGGCGUCUUGCUGAGAAAAAAUUACUUUAAACCUAAAAUCAUUCAACUCUUUGCCAGUCGUUGCCUUAAGAAAACA